AAUUGAUAGAGUUCUAGAACACCCAGAUCACCAAAGUAUAAGACCCAGUCUUCUCAAAGGUCAAAAUGAAGUUUCAGACAACGUUCUCCAUAAUUGAGCCCUGCAGCUACCACAGGGGAAAAGUUGUCUUUCCACAAAACUGGGUUGCUGGACAAGGUGGAGAAGGAAGAGAUUAUUCCUGGAUCAAAUGAGACCAGAGUGAGUGAAGUCCUCAGCCUUGAUGGGCAUCAUUCAGCUCCUAGACAAUCAAAAGGGAAUAGAUGAAGAAAACAUGGCGGGAAAUGACAAAGGAAGACGUGCAAACAGAAACAGGGCAAGAGUGAGGAAGCAGCAUGGGGGAAGGAGAAGGAGAGAAAGCCAAAUGAAAUGUUUGGAGUCUCCUUGUGAAGCCAAUCGGAGGCCAGAAUUCCACCGAGUGCAUCUUGAACUUGAAGCACAUCUAUUUUAACUCAUGUGAUUUACUUGAUGUGGGUGACAGACCGAAACAGGAACAAUCAUCGUGUGUCAAGCUGUCCAUUCGCCAUGUCUUCACAGCCCUGUCCACUGUUUUUGUUUGCCAUCCUAACCAGCCUGUGCCCUUGACCAGUCAACACGAGACUGGAAAAUCUUUUACACACUGAACCAUUGCCUCAAAUCUCCAGGUUUUCUGUGGCUGUACUGAACCUUGGUCACCAUGCAUGCUAGAUCUUACAAAAUCACCAAGGAUCCAGGAAGAAAGGAGCCUUAGCUUUCAGUCUGCCUUCAUUUACGAUCAAGCUAUCAGAUUCCUUACGGCAAUGCAAAAAGAGACAAACAAAACAGAGACACAGUCUGCGCAUCCACAGGCUUCCACAGUCUGUGCAUCCACAGGUUUCCACAGUCUGCUCAUUCACAGGCUUCCACAGUCUGCUCAUCCACAGGCUUCCACCGUCUGCCAUCUUCCCUGGCCAGCCACAACAAAAGAAGCACUCUAUGCAUGUGUUAGAAGAGCCCAAGUCAUCUAUGGUUUAUAAAUCAGAAGUCUGGGAGACUUCUCUUAUGAAA
Non-coding RNA from Peromyscus maniculatus bairdii (prairie deer mouse), 1023 nucleotides. The record is from RefSeq and is a predicted model, not a curated record. NCBI's taxonomy places the organism in Eukaryota, Metazoa, Chordata, Mammalia, Rodentia, Cricetidae.